GACGAACGCUGGCGGCGUGCUUAACACAUGCAAGUCGAACGGAAAGGCCCUGCUUUUGUGGGGUGCUCGAGUGGCGAACGGGUGAGUAACACGUGAGUAACCUGCCCUUGACUUUGGGAUAACUUCAGGAAACUGGGGCUAAUACCGGAUCGGAGCUCCUGCUGCAUGGUGGGGGUUGGAAAGUUUCGGCGGUUGGGGAUGGACUCGCGGCUUAUCAGCUUGUUGGUGGGGUAGUGGCUUACCAAGGCUGUGACGGGUAGCCGGCCUGAGAGGGUGACCGGCCACAUGGGGACUGAGAUACGGCCCAGACUCCAACGGGAGGCAGCAGUGGGGAAUAUUGCACAAUGGGCGGAAGCCUGAUGCAGCAACGCCGCGUGCGGAAUGACGGCCUUCGGGUUGUAAACCGCUUUCGCCUGUGACGAAGCGGGAGUGACGGUAAUGGGUAAAGAAGCACCGGCUAACUACGUG
This 468-nucleotide ribosomal RNA is filed under the name uncultured bacterium. Its description in RNAcentral is "partial 16S ribosomal RNA". It matches the Rfam family "Bacterial small subunit ribosomal RNA", at positions 28 to 507 of the family's 1533-position model. The record is from RNAcentral.